This 492-nucleotide ribosomal RNA is filed under the name uncultured bacterium. Its description in RNAcentral is "partial 16S ribosomal RNA". It matches the Rfam family "Bacterial small subunit ribosomal RNA", at positions 29 to 507 of the family's 1533-position model. The record is from RNAcentral.
AGUGAACGCUGGCGGUAGGCCUAACACAUGCAAGUCGAACGGCAGCACAGUAAGAGCUUGCUCUUACGGGUGGCGAGUGGCGGACGGGUGAGGAAUACAUCGGAAUCUACUUUUUCGUGGGGGAUAACGUAGGGAAACUUACGCUAAUACCGCAUACGACCUACGGGUGAAAGCAGGGGAUCUUCGGACCUUGCGCGAUUGAAUGAGCCGAUGUCGGAUUAGCUAGUUGGCGGGGUAAAGGCCCACCAAGGCGACGAUCCGUAGCUGGUCUGAGAGGAUGAUCAGCCACACUGGAACUGAGACACGGUCCAGACUCCUACGGGAAGCAGCAGUGGGGAAUAUUGGACAAUGGGCGCAAGCCUGAUCCAGCCAUACCGCGUGGGUGAAGAAGGCCUUCGGGUUGUAAAGCCCUUUUGUUGGGAAAGAAAAGCAGCAGGUUAAUACCCCGCUGUUCUGACGGUACCCAAAGGAUAAGCACCGGCUAACUUCGUG